AACGAACGCUGGCGGCAUGCCUAACACAUGCAAGUCGAACGAGACCUUAGGGUGUAGUGGCGCAUGGGUGUGUAACGCGUGGGAACCUGCCCUUAGGUUUGGAAUAACUCUUCGUCAGGGGUGAUAAUAUCGGAUACUGACUCUGGUACCACGUUCUAUCGCCUUUGGAUGGGCCCGCGUUGGCUUAGCUGGCUCGUAGGGUAAAAGCCUACUAAGGUGACGAUCCAUAGCUGGUCAGAGAGAAGGAUCAGCCACACUGGGAGGGAGACACAGCCGAGAAUCCUACGGGAGGCAGGAGUGCGGAAUAUUGGACAAUGGGGGAGAUGCUGAUGCAGCAAGGCUGCGAGAGUGAUGUAGUCCGUAGGGAAGAAAAGCUCUUUUACCCGGGAUGAUAAUGACAGUACCGAGAGAAUAAGCUCCGGCUAACUCCGUG
Molecule: ribosomal RNA, 433 nt
Filed under: uncultured bacterium
Lineage: Bacteria
Description: partial 16S ribosomal RNA
Rfam family: Bacterial small subunit ribosomal RNA
Source: RNAcentral